This 215-nucleotide unclassified non-coding RNA is filed under the name Paraglomerales sp. RNAcentral's name for it is "partial internal transcribed spacer 2". The record is from RNAcentral. Lineage: Eukaryota; Fungi; Glomeromycota; Glomeromycetes; Paraglomerales.
GUGAAUCAUCGAAUCUUUGAACGCAAAUUGCGCCUUCUUCUAUAGGCGUGACUGUUUGAGGGCACCAUUUAACAAAUAAUGUGCCGCGAUUUUUGUUUCAUACGUAGCUGAGCUUUCCAGGAAUUUGAAAUUUUUGCUGGCACAUAAUGAAAAUCGUGAAAGUUUUUUUCAGUUCGAGUGUAGUAUAAUCUUUCAUUGGGUUCUGAAGAAACAUC